This 234-nucleotide ribosomal RNA is filed under the name Triticum aestivum (bread wheat). Its description in RNAcentral is "partial small subunit ribosomal RNA". The record is from RNAcentral. Lineage: Eukaryota; Viridiplantae; Streptophyta; Magnoliopsida; Poales; Poaceae.
AUGAUUAUCUUUGCCUGGAACUGCCGGGGAUUGGGGUUGGACUCGGCAGUCGGCGAGCUACGAGACCUGAUUAGGUCAUACAACCCAGAGGUGAUUUUUUUAUCAGAAACUAAAAAAAGAUCGGGAGCGAUGGAGAGACUCAAGUGGAGCUUGGGGUUCACAAAAGGGGUGGCUGUGGACUGUAAAGGAAAGAGUGGAGGUUUGGCGCUAUGGUGGAGAGAUCAUAUUGAGGUC